GAUCAUUACAAAUUCAGUGGGGCGUCGGUUUCGGCCGGCGCGUCGCGUCAACCUCUGUGAACCAUCUCUGUUGCCUCGGGGGCGACCCUGCCGUUUCGGCGGUAGGGGCUCCCGGUGGCCAUCUCAAACACUGCGUUUAUUUGCGUCGGAGUUUAAACAAAUCAAUCAAAACUUUCAACAACGGAUCUCUUGGUUCUGGCAUCGAUGAAGAACGCAGCGAAAUGCGAUAAGUAAUGUGAAUUGCAGAAUUCAGUGAAUCAUCGAAUCUUUGAACGCACAUUGCGCCCUUUGGUAUUCCGAAGGGCAUGCCUGUUCGAGCGUCAUUUCACCACUCAAGCCUGGCUUGGUAUUGGGCCUCGCGGGUCACCGCGUGCCUUGAAGUCUUUCCGGCUGAGCGAUCUAUCUCUAAGCGUUGUGGCAACUAUUCGCGGUGAGGUUAGAGCGCGUCGGCCGUUAAAUCUUUCUUAAGGUUGACCUCGGAUCAGGUAGGGAUACCCGCUGAACUUAAGCAUAUCAAUAAGCGGAGGAAAAGAAACCAACAGGGAUUGCCCUAGUAACGGCGAGUGAAGCGGCAACAGCUCAAAUUUGAAACCUGGCGCAAGCCCGGAUUGUAAUUUGUAGAGGAUGCUUCUGGGCAGCGGCCGUUCUAAGUUCCUUGGAACAGGACGUCAUAGAGGGUGAGAAUCCCGUAUGUGACCGGCGCGCACCCUUCACGUAGCUCCUUCGACGAGUCGAGUUGUUUGGGAAUGCAGCUCUAAAUGGGAGGUAAAUGUCUUCUAAAGCUAAAUACCGGCCAGAGACCGAUAGCGCACAAGUAGAGUGAUCGAAAGAUGAAAAGCACUUUGGAAAGAGAGUUAAAAAGCACGUGAAAUUGUUGAAAGGGAAGCGCUCACAACCAGACUUCGCGGUGGUGUUCCGCCGGUCUUUUGACCGGUCCACUCGCCGCCGCGAGGCCAACAUCGUCUGCGGCCGCCGGAUAAGACCCGAGGAAUGUAGCUCAUUGAGUGUUAUAGCCUCGGGUGAUGCGGCGCGCUGCGGGCGAGGUCCACGCUCGGCAAGGAU
RNAcentral lists this ribosomal RNA (1062 nucleotides) under fungal endophyte. RNAcentral's name for it is "eukaryotic LSU rRNA". The stretch from base 472 to 1062 matches the Rfam family "Eukaryotic large subunit ribosomal RNA", at positions 1 to 604 of the family's 3401-position model. The record is from RNAcentral. Lineage: Eukaryota; Fungi.